This 858-nucleotide long non-coding RNA is filed under the name Gossypium barbadense (sea-island cotton). Its description in RNAcentral is "long non-coding RNA (GBAR_LNC006256)". The record is from RNAcentral. Lineage: Eukaryota; Viridiplantae; Streptophyta; Magnoliopsida; Malvales; Malvaceae.
AAAAAAAAAACUUCAAAAGCUCUGAGCUCUCUCCUCCCCUCUCCAAGUCCGGUCAUCGGACUGGCCAUCGGCCGCCGGGGCUCCGCUGUCUCCGGCCACCGCGCGGUGGCCGGAACUCCAAAAAAGGUACUUUUUUUUAUUUUUUAGUUUUAUAUAUUUAUAUACAACUUAUUUUUAAAAUAAAAAAAGAAAAUAUCAAUAUAUGUAUGUAAGUAGAUUCGAAAAAAUAAAAUAAAGAAAAUAAAUAAAGAAAGAAAAAGAAAAAAAUAGUAACCUUUUACCCUUUUAUCUUGGAUUUUUUUUCUCCGAAUCUGUUUUGUGGAUUUGCAAUUUGAUAUUUGAAUCUUUUUUUUUGUAUUCAAUGUCUAAAGAAAUACAUUUGGUUUUCUUGGCUUAUAUAGCCAUUCUUACAACUUGUUUUUCUACUUGAUUGUUUUUACAGGUACAUGACGGUGGCGACAGUAGAAGGCGGUGCUGAUGUGACAAUGGCGGUGGCAACAAGGCAGACCUAGGUACUGUGGAGCCGGCGUGGCAAAAGCUAGGGACUAGGGGCGGCACUAGUGUUUGGGGGGCUAUGGUUUUUUCUGAAAAUCUUAAAGUUUAGGGCCUCGUAGGUUUGGGCUAGGGUUUUUUAAUUUUUAGGUUUGGGUAGUUGGGUUAGUAAUGGUGGGCUGAUGGUUGUUUGGGUUUGUUUGGGGUUUAGUUGGUUUAGUUUGGUUUUGGGUGUAGUUGGGUUUAUUUUAUUUUAUUGGGCCGAUGUAAUGGGUUUGGGUUUUAGCCUGGGCCAAAAUUGGGCUCCACACCGAUAAUAAAGUGCGACCAUUGUCUCCACAUCAUCAUCUACAAGUUUUAUCUCGG